AUCUCUUCCCAGAUCCGACCCGGUUGAAGAUCGGGUUCGGGUACGAGUCGGGUUCGGGUCCGAGUCGGGUUCGGGUCCGAAUCGGGUCCAAUUUCUUUGUGUUUUUGGGAGAGAAUUUUGGACAAAUCUAAUUUGACCAUAUCAUAACUAUGAGGUGCUGGCUGACCCAUGACUUGAAAGACUUGCAAUUGACCUCCAGUCAGAACAAAUGACCUGUGACGAAUUUCCCAAAUUUCAUAUCACACUAUUUUUAUCUAUAUGACUAAUUGGACGGAACUUGGUGUCUCCCAGCUCCCCUCUCAGAAGGGAAAAGAAGGACCCGGACCUUCUUCCAAAUCCAAUUCCAUUGCAGAAACUGGCACAUGACCCAUAUUCAGUCAAGUGAGAUCCCGCGUCUCUUGCCUUUCCGUGACCCCGGCGGUCACUCAUCCGUGCCAGCCACCGUGCCAGCAAAUCACGCCGUCUGCAGCUCCUCCCUCCUUCCGUGUCCAAGAUCCCGCGAUGCAUCAAGACAUGCGCCCAUUCCGGAUUCCCAGCGAGCCCGUGAUCCUUCCUUCCGCAUCAGGCCGCCAUCUUCAACCAUCCCACGGCACCUUCCGUGAUCCCGUCGAUCCCGCUCCAAUCCGGCACCCAAAGAAGGGAAGAUCAGCGAUCCAACGCGUCUCCUCCCUUCCGUUUUUCUUCCUCUUCCGCGUGCAAUCUCGACGAUCAUGCUCCCAGCCAUCCGUGCUUCCUUCCUUGCAUCCACGGUCAACUCCUCACAGCAUCCCGUGAAGGAAAUCCACGGAUCUCACGCUCGUCUACCCUCUUCCUCCUCCCAAUGAUUUCGCGAGUGAGCCCAAGCAUCGAUCCAGCCGGCCGUGAUUCUCCAGCAAAUCGCAGCAUCACAUCCGCAAUCGCCCGUUGAUCCCGUGAUCGGCUCCUCCCAGCAGCCCCUCAUGCCAUUUCUUCCACCCGUCUGCGUUCAUCAAGGAAGACCGCAUCCUCCCAGCAGUCCGUGAUCAACGUACGCCGAGAUCCCAAGCGCCCAUUCCAUGCGGCUGAUCUCUAGUGGGGACCUAUAAAAGGGAGGAGAAGAGGAGAAGGAGGAGAGCUCGGUGGGAGGUGGAGGCCAAGAGAGGAGUCGGCUGGGUGUUGAGAAGAAGAAACAGAGCAAGGCUCUGUUCUUGGGAAGAAGAAAGGAAUAAAGAAAGAUAAAAAAAGGGAGAGUAUUUUAUUUUGGGAGUUCCACCGUGGGAGAAGAAAAGUGACUUGUUCUACUUUCUUUUUCUUUAUUUUAUUUACAAAAGAGAAGGAGUAUUAGGUCUAAUCUCCAUUGUUAUUUGUAAUCGAUGUUAUUUUUAUCAAAUCUAUCAUUUCUUUUUCAUGCAAUCCUUGUUCUAGGAUUAGUUUAAUUUCUGUUUUCUUCAUGCAAU
Molecule: long non-coding RNA, 1415 nt
Filed under: Phoenix dactylifera (date palm)
Lineage: Eukaryota; Viridiplantae; Streptophyta; Magnoliopsida; Arecales; Arecaceae
Description: long non-coding RNA (PDAC_LNC005182)
Source: RNAcentral